This 363-nucleotide RNase P RNA is filed under the name Puniceicoccales bacterium. RNAcentral describes it as "RNase P RNA component class A". It matches the Rfam family "Bacterial RNase P class A". From Rfam's summary of the family: Ribonuclease P (RNase P) is a ubiquitous endoribonuclease, found in archaea, bacteria and eukarya as well as chloroplasts and mitochondria. Its best characterised activity is the generation of mature 5'-ends of tRNAs by cleaving the 5'-leader elements of precursor-tRNAs. The record is from RNAcentral. Lineage: Bacteria; Pseudomonadati; Verrucomicrobiota; Opitutia; Puniceicoccales.
GUGUUUUGGUAUGUGUUCGCUCGUAUGCAAGAUAACGAGAGGAAAGUCCGGACACCACAUGGCAGAAUUCCGCGUGAAAGCGCGGGCAUGCAUGCCAUACCAUGCAUGACGGAUAGCGCAACAGAAAGUAUUCAGCCUAGCAGUAGGUUAUGGUGAAAUGGUGUGGUAAGAGCACACCGGCGUAGCAGCAAUGACACGCGCAGGGCAAGCCCAAUUCGGUGCAAGACGAAAUAGGGUGUCGAGUAGCCAACUCAAUGGCACCGGGUUCGUCGCACUUCCGUUCGGAAGAAUAUUAAAUUAUUAGAUGAAUGAACGCACGAACUUUUAGUUCGAACAGAAUCCGGCUUAUUCCAAAAUAUUCGC